This 468-nucleotide ribosomal RNA is filed under the name uncultured bacterium. RNAcentral describes it as "partial 16S ribosomal RNA". It matches the Rfam family "Bacterial small subunit ribosomal RNA", at positions 28 to 507 of the family's 1533-position model. The record is from RNAcentral.
GACGAACGCUGGCGGCGUGCUUAACACAUGCAAGUCGAACGGAAAGGCCCUGCUUUUGUGGGGUGCUCGUGUGGCGAACGGGUGAGUAACACGUGAGUAACCUGCCCUUGUCUUUGGGAUAACUUCAGGAAACUGGGGCUAAUACCGGAUAGGAGCUCCUGCUCCAUGGGGGGGGUUGGAAAGUUUCGGCGGUUGGGGAUGGACUCGCGGCUUAUCCGCUGGUUGGUGGAGUAGUGGCUUACCAAGGCUUUGACGGGUAGCCGGCCUGAGAGGGUGACCGGCCACAAUGGGCCUGAGAGACGGACCAGACGCCUACGGGCGGCAGCAGUCGGGAAUAUGGCAGAAUGGGCGGAAGCCAGAUGCAGCAACGCCGCGUGCGGGAUGACGGCCUUCGGGUUGUAAACCGCUUUCGACGGUGACGAAGCGUGAGUGACGGUAAUGGGUAAAGAAGCACCGGCUAACUACGUG